This 1207-nucleotide long non-coding RNA is filed under the name Solanum tuberosum (potato). RNAcentral's name for it is "long non-coding RNA (STUB_LNC006935)". Lineage: Eukaryota; Viridiplantae; Streptophyta; Magnoliopsida; Solanales; Solanaceae. The record is from RNAcentral.
UUUUUUAAGGCUCAUGACCUCUUUCCAUGACUUUAUUUUAUGAUCGUAAGGAUCCAUUCAUAUUUCACAUAUAGAGAUGGAUUACAUCAUUUCCGUUCAUUACAUAAUGGCCACACAUCAACAACAUGAAGAAUGAGUUUACAGAGGUUGCUAGAUCAACAACAUAGACCACAUUCAUUUAGAACCUACAUGACUACUCUAAAUCUUGAAUUCGCCUCUGAUUGUGACGAACUAUAUAUGAAGAAUUGCUAGAUCAACAAUGAGCAGCCUAUGAUUUAGUGAAAACAAAACUAGAUAUAAUUGUGUCAAUAUUUUGCAACUCCAGCACUCUGAGCCUUCCCUAAAAUCGACUCGAUGCUGCCAUGGAAAAGACCUAAGCUUUUCGCUAAAGCAAAGCCGCUAUACAUGCCAUCAACAGCUGCACUUACUAUCCCGCCAGCAUAGCCUGCUCCUUCUCCGAUAGGGUAAAGCCCUCUUAAAGACGUGCACUCGUAAGUGUCAGCACUUCGCGAGAUCUGGACAGGGGAACUAGUUCUUGUCUGUAAUGAGGAAGAAAUGAAAAGUUACCACUUCGGUUCAAGAAGCAAGAAAUGUGCAAGUUAUUAACUCCAAUGCUUUGUUUUAAUGAAUACAACAUCUUUUUUUAAGGCUCAUGACCUCUUUCCAUGACUUUAUUUUAUGAUCGUAAGGAUCCAUUCAUAUUUCACAUAUAGAGAUGGAUUACAUCAUUUCCGUUCAUUACAUAAUGGCCACACAUCAACAACAUGAAGAAUGAGUUUACAGAGGUUGCUAGAUCAACAACAUAGACCACAUUCAUUUAGAACCUACAUGACUACUCUAAAUCUUGAAUUCGCCUCUGAUUGUGACGAACUAUAUAUGAAGAAUUGCUAGAUCAACAAUGAGCAGCCUAUGAUUUAGUGAAAACAAAACUAGAUAUAAUUGUGUCAAUAUUUUGCAACUCCAGCACUCUGAGCCUUCCCUAAAAUCGACUCGAUGCUGCCAUGGAAAAGACCUAAGCUUUUCGCUAAAGCAAAGCCGCUAUACAUGCCAUCAACAGCUGCACUUACUAUCCCGCCAGCAUAGCCUGCUCCUUCUCCGAUAGGGUAAAGCCCUCUUAAAGACGUGCACUCGUAAGUGUCAGCACUUCGCGAGAUCUGGACAGGGGAACUAGUUCUUGUCUGUAAUGAGGAAGAAAUGAAAAGUUACC